RNAcentral lists this ribosomal RNA (1090 nucleotides) under Chryseobacterium sp. soB3. RNAcentral's name for it is "bacterial SSU rRNA". It matches the Rfam family "Bacterial small subunit ribosomal RNA", at positions 244 to 1339 of the family's 1533-position model. The record is from RNAcentral. Lineage: Bacteria; Pseudomonadati; Bacteroidota; Flavobacteriia; Flavobacteriales; Weeksellaceae.
GNUNGUUGGUAGGGUAACGGCCUUACCAAGUCAGUGAUCUUUAGGGGGCCUGAGAGGGUGAUCCCCCACACUGGUACUGAGACACGGACCAGACUCCUACGGGAGGCAGCAGUGAGGAAUAUUGGACAAUGGGUGAGAGCCUGAUCCAGCCAUCCCGCGUGAAGGACGACGGCCCUAUGGGUUGUAAACUUCUUUUGUAUAGGGAUAAACCUUUCCACGUGUGGGAAGCUGAAGGUACUAUACGAAUAAGCACCGGCUAACUCCGUGCCAGCAGCCGCGGUAAUACGGAGGGUGCAAGCGUUAUCCGGAUUUAUUGGGUUUAAAGGGUCCGUAGGCGGAUCUGUAAGUCAGUGGUGAAAUCUCACAGCUUAACUGUGAAACUGCCAUUGAUACUGCAGGUCUUGAGUAAAGUAGAAGUGGCUGGAAUAAGUAGUGUAGCGGUGAAAUGCAUAGAUAUUACUUAGAACACCAAUUGCGAAGGCAGGUCACUAUGUUUUAACUGACGCUGAUGGACGAAAGCGUGGGGAGCGAACAGGAUUAGAUACCCUGGUAGUCCACGCCGUAAACGAUGCUAACUCGUUUUUGGGCUUUAGGGUUCAGAGACUAAGCGAAAGUGAUAAGUUAGCCACCUGGGGAGUACGUUCGCAAGAAUGAAACUCAAAGGAAUUGACGGGGGCCCGCACAAGCGGUGGAUUAUGUGGUUUAAUUCGAUGAUACGCGAGGAACCUUACCAAGGCUUAAAUGGGAAUUGAUCGGUUUAGAAAUAGACCUUCCUUCGGGCAAUUUUCAAGGUGCUGCAUGGUUGUCGUCAGCUCGUGCCGUGAGGUGUUAGGUUAAGUCCUGCAACGAGCGCAACCCCUGUCACUAGUUGCCAUCAUUAAGUUGGGGACUCUAGUGAGACUGCCUACGCAAGUAGAGAGGAAGGUGGGGAUGACGUCAAAUCAUCACGGCCCUUACGCCUUGGGCCACACACGUAAUACAAUGGCCGGUACAGAGGGCAGCUACACAGCGAUGUGAUGCAAAUCUCGAAAGCCGGUCUCAGNNNNNAUUGGAGUCUGCAACUCGACUCUAUGAAGCUGGAAUCGCUAGU